RNAcentral lists this ribosomal RNA (746 nucleotides) under uncultured Parvimonas sp. RNAcentral describes it as "bacterial SSU rRNA". It matches the Rfam family "Bacterial small subunit ribosomal RNA", at positions 28 to 776 of the family's 1533-position model. Lineage: Bacteria; Bacillati; Bacillota; Tissierellia; Tissierellales; Peptoniphilaceae. The record is from RNAcentral.
GACGAACGCUGGCGGCGUGCUUAACACAUGCAAGUCGAACGUGAUUUUUAUGGAAAGCCCUUCGGGGACGGAAGUAAAAUGAAAGUGGCGAACGGGUGAGUAACACGUGAGCAACCUACCUUACACAGGGGGAUAGCCGUUGGAAACGACGAUUAAUACCGCAUGAGACCACAAAGCCACAUGGCUUAGGGGUAAAAGAUUUAUCGGUGUAAGAUGGGCUCGCGUCUGAUUAGCUAGUUGGAAGGGUAAAGGCCUACCAAGGCGACGAUCAGUAGCCGGUCUGAGAGGAUGAACGGCCACAUUGGAACUGAGACACGGUCCAAACUCCUACGGGAGGCAGCAGUGGGGAAUAUUGCACAAUGGGGGGAACCCUGAUGCAGCGACGCCGCGUGAGCGAAGAAGGUUUUCGAAUCGUAAAGCUCUGUCCUAUGAGAAGAUAAUGACGGUAUCAUAGGAGGAAGCCCCGGCUAAAUACGUGCCAGCAGCCGCGGUAAUACGUAUGGGGCGAGCGUUGUCCGGAAUUAUUGGGCGUAAAGGGUACGUAGGCGGCCUUUUAAGUCAGGUGUGAAAGCGUGAGGCUUAACCUCAUUAAGCACUUGAAACUGGAAGGCUUGAGUGAAGGAGAGGAAAGUGGAAUUCCUAGUGUAGCGGUGAAAUGCGUAGAUAUUAGGAGGAAUACCGGUGGCGAAGGNNACUUUCUGGACUUUUACUGACGCUCAGGUACGAAAGCGUGGGGAGCAAACAGG